UACGUAGGGCGCAAGCGUUGUCCGGAAUUAUUGGGCGUAAAGAGCUCGUAGGCGGCUUGUCGCGUCGGAUGUGAAAGCCCGGGGCUUAACUCCGGGUCUGCAUUCGAUACGGGCAGGCUAGAGUUCGGUAGGGGAGAUCGGAAUUCCUGGUGUAGUGGUGAAAUGCGUAGAGAUCAGGAGGAACACCGGUGGCGAAGGCGGCCCACUGGGCUGUCACUGACGCUGAGGCGCGAAAGCUCGGGGAGCGAACGGG
This 253-nucleotide ribosomal RNA is filed under the name uncultured bacterium. RNAcentral describes it as "partial 16S ribosomal RNA". It matches the Rfam family "Bacterial small subunit ribosomal RNA", at positions 524 to 776 of the family's 1533-position model. The record is from RNAcentral.